GCCGACUGAAUCCUCAGCCGGGGCCACGAAAACUCCGCCGACAUGACUUUGGCUCCUCUCUUUUCGGAGCUGUUAAUCAUCCCUUCCACUGCCUCACUCUCGUAAUCAUACACCGUCAGCAGCUUCCUACUGGUCUUGAACGGGUAAGAUUCCGCCACAAGUUUAAAAGCCGAUGUUCUGUUGGCAGUGAAAACCAUGCUGUAAUCAUUUUCUGAUAUGUUAAGAAAAUCCAUAAUCCUGUUUCUCAUUGCAGAUUCCAGCUCUGAUUCCUGGCCGCCAUGAAGCAGCUGCGUCUUCAAACUCCCUGUCUUGUACGACAAACUAAAGAAGGGGAAAUCCGACCUCACUUGAGAAGAGGAUUCGUGAUUGUGCAGCUGAGAAGAGGAGAAGAGGCC
RNAcentral lists this long non-coding RNA (395 nucleotides) under Malus domestica (apple). RNAcentral's name for it is "long non-coding RNA (MDOM_LNC001179)". Lineage: Eukaryota; Viridiplantae; Streptophyta; Magnoliopsida; Rosales; Rosaceae. The record is from RNAcentral.